AUUGAACGCUGGCGGCAGGCCUAACACAUGCAAGUCGAACGGUAGCACAGAGAGCUUGCUCUCGGGUGACGAGUGACGGACGGGUGAGUAAUGUCUGGGAAACUGCCCGAUGGAGGGGGAUAACUACUGGAAACGGUAGCUAAUACCGCAUAACGUCGCAAGACCAAAGUGGGGGACCUUCGGGCCUCACACCAUCGGAUGUGCCCAGAUGGGAUUAGCUAGUAGGUGGGGUAAUGGCUCACCUAGGCGACGAUCCCUAGCUGGUCUGAGAGGAUGACCAGCCACACUGGAACUGAGACACGGUCCAGACUCCUACGGGAGGCAGCAGUGGGGAAUAUUGCACAAUGGGCGCAAGCCUGAUGCAGCCAUGCCGCGUGUAUGAAGAAGGCCUUCGGGUUGUAAAGUACUUUCAGCGGGGAGGAAGGCGGUGAAGUUAAUAACUUCACCGAUUGACGUUACCCGCAGAAGAAGCACCGGCUAACUCCGUGCCAGCAGCCGCCGCCG
Molecule: ribosomal RNA, 504 nt
Filed under: uncultured bacterium
Lineage: Bacteria
Description: partial 16S ribosomal RNA
Rfam family: Bacterial small subunit ribosomal RNA
Source: RNAcentral